ACUGAAUAGAUACCCCGGUAGUCCACGCCGUAAACGAUGGGUGCUAGCCGUGGGAAGGUUACCUUUCCGUGGCGCAGCUAAACGCGUUAAAGCACCCCGCCUGGGGAGUACGGUCGCAAGAUUAAAACUCAAAGAAAUUGACGGGACCCGCACAAGCGGUGGAACAUGUGGUUUAAUUCGAGGCAACGCGAAGAACCUUACCAGGGUUUGACAUGCCCUUACGGAGACCAGAAACGGACUCUUUCAGUUCGGCUGGAGGGAGCACAGGUGCUGCAUGGCUGUCGUCAGCUCGUGUCGUGAGAUGUUGGGUUAAGUCCCGCAACGAGCGCAACCCUCGUCCUCUGUUGCUAACAGGUUAAGCUGAGAACUCUGAGGAAACUGCCGGUGAUAAGCCGGAGGAAGGUGGGGAUGACGUCAAGUCCUCAUGGCCCUUACACCCUGGGCUACACACGUGUUACAAUGGCAGUGACAAUGCGCAGCUAGCCCGCGAGGGUACGCGAAUCGCAAAAAGCUGCCUCAGUUCGGAUUGUACUCUGC
Molecule: ribosomal RNA, 537 nt
Filed under: uncultured bacterium
Lineage: Bacteria
Description: bacterial SSU rRNA
Rfam family: Bacterial small subunit ribosomal RNA
Source: RNAcentral